GUUCGGUCUUAUCAUAAAUAAAAUUUUCAUUUUCCCCUUCUAUUGAUAACUGGGCAGAAUUUUUUAGAGGGUCUCAAAUAUUCCAUCAAGAUUUCUCCUUGCACAUAAACUCAAAAAUUCUAUCAAAAACAUUUCUUCUCAACAAUCGGGACAGAAUUUUGAGAAGAUCUCAAAAUUGCUGAAAAUCAAGAUUUAAGCUACAACUACAACUGAUCAGAAUGACAAAAGUUCUACCCUGG
This 239-nucleotide unclassified non-coding RNA is filed under the name Hevea brasiliensis (rubber tree). The record is from RNAcentral. Lineage: Eukaryota; Viridiplantae; Streptophyta; Magnoliopsida; Malpighiales; Euphorbiaceae.